UUUAUUUCUUACCUAUUUUUGAAUGCAGCCUUCGGAAAGUGACAUAGCAAUGGCUGACGUGACCUAAAUCAUUGUUUGUUUAUAAUUUUUUGGAAAAUUUCUGUUUGGUUUUAUCCCCUGAACGCACGAUGAGUUCACGCAUCUUGCCACCAGAGCAAACGUCAUCAGACCAAAUAAGAACAACAACGUCUGAAAUAAACAAGUAUUCAAAAGAAUCUCGCAAAGAAGUAUUUUUUCGGAUAUUGGCUGUAAUAACAAUAAUAUUGUUUCCUAUUUCGCUAUUAAUAUGUUUUAGGGUGGUAAAACAAUAUAAAAGAGCUGUUAUAAUGCGAUUUGGAAGGAUUCGAAAAGACUCACCAGCCGGCCCUGGCAUAAUAUGGGUGAUCCCUUGCACCGAUGACAUCCAAAUGAUGGAUUUAAGAACUCAAUCUUUUAAUCUCCCGCCACAAGAAAUUCUAACAAAAGACUCUGUCACCGUAACAGUUGAUGCCGUCGUUUAUUUUCACAUACGAAAACCUCUUCACUGUAUAUUGAACAUCCAAAAUAAUCAGUAUGCAACAGAAUUAAUCACCGUUGCUACAUUAAGGAAUAUACUCGGUCAACACUCUCUAUAUAACCUUCUCACACGUCGAGAGAGUAUCAGUUACAAAUGCAGAACGGAGAUUGACAAAACCACCUCCAAAUGGGGAGUUGUCAUUGAAAGAGUUGAAAUAAAAGACGUAUUUUUACCUUUUGAACUCCAAAAGGCAAUGGCAGCUGAGGCUGAGGGUACUCGUAUAGCUAAAGCUAAAGUAAUAGAAUCAGAAGGUGAAAUAAAAGCAGCUGAAAAUUUAAAGGAAGCUUCUCAAAUGAUGAUGGAGAAUCCACAUAUAAUGCUGCUCCGUUAUUUACAAACAUUAAGCUCACUUGCUUCAAAUAACUCAGCAACAAUAUUUUUUCCUUUCCCAAUGGACCUUCCUGUCGCACGUGCGGAUUUAAUCUACAGAAAAACUGAUCCGAUCUUGAAAAAUAUUUUAUAAACAGAACUAUUAAGAAGUGACCUAAGCUAUACGGUACCUGUUUUAUUUUAAAUAAACAAAAAUUCUGUCAAAAUUGUAAUAUAAAAUUAUCAAAUCGUAGCAAAGCGGUGAGACCGAAGACACAGUAACAAAACUUAAACAAACUUUCAUUCAAUCAAUCCUUUUUACGAAGUAACGAAGAACAACGGUUACGUAGGUAACCGAUGUCAGGAUGACAUUCUCUAUUUUUCUGGCGGAAAGCUGAG
Molecule: RNA transcript, 1264 nt
Organism: Spodoptera frugiperda (fall armyworm)
Lineage: Eukaryota; Metazoa; Arthropoda; Insecta; Lepidoptera; Noctuidae
Gene name: stomatin-like
Exons: 9
Source: RefSeq, a predicted model, not a curated record